This 480-nucleotide ribosomal RNA is filed under the name uncultured soil bacterium. RNAcentral describes it as "bacterial SSU rRNA". It matches the Rfam family "Bacterial small subunit ribosomal RNA", at positions 26 to 508 of the family's 1533-position model. The record is from RNAcentral.
AGAAUGAACGCUGGCGGCGUGCCUUACACAUGCAAGUCGCGCGAGGCGGCCCGCAAGGGUUAGUCGAGCGGCGAACGGGUGAGUAACACGUGGAUAACCUGCCCUGAGGUGGGGAAUAACCCGGGGAAACCCGGGCUAAUACCGCAUAUGACCGAGAGGUCAAAGGGGGCUCGCAAGGGCUCUCGCCACAGGAGGGGUCCGCGUCCGAUUAGCUAGUUGGCAGGGUAAUGGCCUACCAAGGCGACGAUCGGUAGCCGGCCUGAGACGGGGUGAGUCGGACCGACACUGGAACUGAGACACGGUCCAGACUCCUACGGGAGCAGCAGUGGGAAUUUGCGCAAUGGGCGAAAGCCUGACGCAGCAACGCCGCGUGGAGGAUGAAGGUCCUUGGAUCGUAAACUCCUAGUCAGCAGGAAAAGCGAGUUGACCUAAUACGUCGAUGAGUUGAUGAUACCUGCAGAGGAGUCCGCUAACUCGUGU